RNAcentral lists this ribosomal RNA (845 nucleotides) under uncultured fungus. RNAcentral's name for it is "eukaryotic LSU rRNA". The stretch from base 1 to 241 matches the Rfam family "Eukaryotic small subunit ribosomal RNA", at positions 1593 to 1831 of the family's 1831-position model. Lineage: Eukaryota; Fungi. The record is from RNAcentral.
UUGCUCUUCAACGAGGAAUGCCUAGUAAGCGCAAGUCAUCAGCUUGCGUUGAUUACGUCCCUGCCCUUUGUACACACCGCCCGUCGCUACUACCGAUUGAAUGGCUUAGUGAGAUCUCCGGAUUGGCUUUGGGAAGCUGGCAACGGCUACCCAUUGCUGAGAAGCUGAUCAAACUUGGUCAUUUAGAGGAAGUAAAAGUCGUAACAAGGUUUCCGUAGGUGAACCUGCGGAAGGAUCAUUAAUGAAUACAGAUGCCUGUCGAGCUUGCUCACGGGCUUUCUAUCAUAUCCAUAACACCUGUGCACUUGUUGGAUGAUCUAAAGACAUAGGGUAAAACCUAAAGUCAAUAGUCAUCCACUUACACUAAACAAUAAUGUAACAAAUGUAGUCUUAUUAUAACAAAAUAAAACUUUCAACAACGGAUCUCUUGGCUCUCGCAUCGAUGAAGAACGCAGCGAAAUGCGAUAAGUAAUGUGAAUUGCAGAAUUCAGUGAAUCAUCGAAUCUUUGAACGCACCUUGCGCUCCUUGGUAUUCCGAGGAGCAUGCCUGUUUGAGUGUCAUGAAAACCCUCAACCUUAGAUUGGUUAUUUGACCUUUCUUUGGCUUGGAUUUGGACGUUUGCCGAUGUCAAGUCGGCUCGUCUUAAAAGUAAUAGCUGGAUCUGUCUCGCGACAUGGUUUGACUUGGCGUAAUAAGUAUUUCGCUAAGGACAUCUUCGGAUGGCCCUGUUGCAGGACUAAAGACCGCUUUCUAAUCCAUUGAUCUUCGGAUUAAUAUUCAUAACAUCUGGCCUCAAAUCAGGUAGGACUACCCGCUGAACUUAAGCAUAUCAAUAAGCGGAGGA